This 252-nucleotide ribosomal RNA is filed under the name Longibaculum muris. Its description in RNAcentral is "partial 16S ribosomal RNA". It matches the Rfam family "Bacterial small subunit ribosomal RNA", at positions 524 to 776 of the family's 1533-position model. Lineage: Bacteria; Bacillati; Bacillota; Erysipelotrichia; Erysipelotrichales; Coprobacillaceae. The record is from RNAcentral. RNAcentral also lists the same sequence under 1 other name.
UACGUAGGUGGCGAGCGUUAUCCGGAAUCAUUGGGCGUAAAGAGGGAGCAGGCGGCAACUAGGGUCUGCGGUAAAAGACCGAAGCUAAACUUCGGUAAGCCGUGGAAACCGAGGAGCUAGAGUGCAGUAGAGGAUCGUGGAAUUCCAUGUGUAGCGGUGAAAUGCGUAGAUAUAUGGAGGAACACCAGUGGCGAAGGCGACGAUCUGGGCUGCAACUGACGCUCAGUCCCGAAAGCGUGGGGAGCAAAUAGG